AUUGAACGCUGGCGGCAGGCCUAACACAUGCAAGUCGAACGGUAACAGGAAGCAGCUUGCUGCUUUGCUGACGAGUGGCGGACGGGUGAGUAAUGUCUGGGAAACUGCCUGAUGGAGGGGGAUAACUACUGGAAACGGUAGCUAAUACCGCAUAACGUCGCAAGACCAAAGAGGGGGACCUUCGGGCCUCUUGCCAUCGGAUGUGCCCAGAUGGGAUUAGCUAGUAGGUGGGGUAACGGCUCACCUAGGCGACGAUCCCUAGCUGGUCUGAGAGGAUGACCAGCCACACUGGAACUGAGACACGGUCCAGACUCCUACGGGAGGCAGCAGUGGGGAAUAUUGCACAAUGGGCGCAAGCCUGAUGCAGCCAUGCCGCGUGUAUGAAGAAGGCCUUCGGGUUGUAAAGUACUUUCAGCGGGGAGGAAGGGAGUAAAGUUAAUACCUUUGCUCAUUAACGUUACCCGCAGAAGAAGCACCGGCUAACUCCGUG
This 490-nucleotide ribosomal RNA is filed under the name uncultured bacterium. Its description in RNAcentral is "partial 16S ribosomal RNA". It matches the Rfam family "Bacterial small subunit ribosomal RNA", at positions 30 to 507 of the family's 1533-position model. The record is from RNAcentral.